GAUGAACGCUGGCGGCGUGCCUAAUACAUGCAAGUCGAGCGAACAGACGAGGAGCUUGCUCCUCUGACGUUAGCGGCGGACGGGUGAGUAACACGUGGAUAACCUACCUAUAAGACUGGGAUAACUUCGGGAAACCGGAGCUAAUACCGGAUAAUAUAUUGAACCGCAUGGUUCAAUAGUGAAAGACGGUUUUGCUGUCACUUAUAGAUGGAUCCGCGCCGCAUUAGCUAGUUGGUAAGGUAACGGCUUACCAAGGCAACGAUGCGUAGCCGACCUGAGAGGAUGAUCGGCCACACUGGAACUGAGACACGGUCCAGACUCCUACGGGAGGCAGCAGUAGGGAAUAUUCCGCAAUGGGCGAAAGCUUGACGGAGCAACGCCGCGUGAGUGAUGAAGGUCUUCGGAUCGUAAAACUCUGUUAUUAGGGAAGAACAAAUGUGUAAGUAACUAUGCACGUCUUGACGGUACCUAAUCAGAAAGCCACGGCUAACUACGUG
This 497-nucleotide ribosomal RNA is filed under the name uncultured bacterium. RNAcentral describes it as "partial 16S ribosomal RNA". It matches the Rfam family "Bacterial small subunit ribosomal RNA", at positions 28 to 507 of the family's 1533-position model. The record is from RNAcentral.